UCAUUUUUAGUUGCCUUAUGGAACUCUAAAAAGACUGCCGGUUAUAAACCGGAGGAAGGCGGGGAUGACGUCAAGUCAGCAUGCCCCUUACACCCUGGGCUACACACGUGCUACAAUGGGCGAGACAAUGAGAUGCAAGUCUGCGAAGAUUAGCUAAUCUAUAAACUCGUUCUAAGUUCGGAUUGUAGGCUGCAACUCGCCUGCAUGAAGUUGGAAUCGCUAGUAAUCGCUGGUCAGCUAUACAGCGGUGAAUUCGUUCCCGGGCCUU
This 268-nucleotide ribosomal RNA is filed under the name uncultured bacterium. RNAcentral's name for it is "partial 16S ribosomal RNA". It matches the Rfam family "Bacterial small subunit ribosomal RNA", at positions 1105 to 1382 of the family's 1533-position model. The record is from RNAcentral.